Molecule: ribosomal RNA, 253 nt
Filed under: uncultured bacterium
Lineage: Bacteria
Description: partial 16S ribosomal RNA
Rfam family: Bacterial small subunit ribosomal RNA
Source: RNAcentral
UACGGGGGGGGCAAGCGUUGUUCGGAAUUACUGGGCGUAAAGGGCUCGUAGGCGGCCAACUAAGUCGGAUGUGAAAUCCCCAAGCUUAACUUGGGAACUGCAUCCGAUACUGGAUGGCUUGAAUCCGGGAGAGGGAUGCAGAAUUCCAGGUGUAGCGGUGAAAUGCGCAGAUAUCAGGAGGAACACCGGUGGCGAAGGCGGGUCUCUGGGCCGAUACUGACGCUGAGGAGCGAAAGCGUGGGGAGCGAACAGG